UUCCGUUAAAUCCAGCGAUUCGAUCGUUGGGCUGCGGGGGAUACUGUUGGGCUAGGGGACGGGAGAGGCCGACGGUAUUCCCGGAGUAGGGGUGAAAUCCUAUAAUUCCGGGAGGACCACCUGUGGCGAAGGCUGUCGGCUAGAACGCGCCUGACGGUGAGGGAUGAAAGCUGGGGGAGCGAACCGGAUUAGAUACCCGGGUAGUCCCAGCCGUAAACGAUGCAGGCUAGGUGUUGGCGCGGAUACGCGCCGCUCCAGUGCCGCAGGGAAGCCGUUAAGCCUGCCGCCUGGGAAGUACGGCCGCAAGGCUGAAACUUAAAGGAAUUGGUGGGGGAGCACCACAAGGGGUGAAGCUUGCGGUUUAAUUGGAGUCAACGCCGGAAAUCUCACCGGGGGCGACAGCAGAAUGAAGGUCAGAUUGAAGGUCUUACCAGACAAGCUGAGAGGAGGUGCAUGGCCGUCGCCAGUUCGUGCCGUGAGGUGUCCUGUUAAGUCAGGCAACGAUCGAGACCCGCGUUCCCUGUUGCCACCGGCCUUGAGCCGAGCACACUGGGGAGACUGCCGCCGAAAAGGCGGAGGAAGGAGCGGGCCACGGCAGGUCAGUAUGCCCCGAAUCCCCCGGGCCACACGCGAGCUGCAAUGGCAGGUACAGAGGGUCCCAACCCCGAAAGGGGAAGGAAAUCCCGAAAGCCUGCCGUAGUUGGGAUCGAGGGUUGCAACUCACCCUCGUGAAUCAUGGAAUCCCUAGUAAUCGCGUGUCAUUAUCGCGCGGUGAAU
Molecule: ribosomal RNA, 777 nt
Filed under: uncultured archaeon
Lineage: Archaea
Description: bacterial SSU rRNA
Rfam family: Archaeal small subunit ribosomal RNA
Source: RNAcentral